GAUAUCCACGUGUCCUACUUAUAUCAGUACACUCUUAACAUACACUCUGAACAACUUAUGCUUAUAUUCGAGAAAAAGAAGCCAUUCGUUUUUUUGUUGACCAAAUUCGAGUCAUUAUUGACCUCCAUACAAAAACUCCUUGCUCGGUGAAAAAAACACCACCUAAAGGAGGGAGACAGGUUUUCUGCCGAGUUGGACAUCUCUCUUCCUCUCUGCUUACACACACAGGUGUUCUGAACACACUAGACACCAGGUGGCGAAUGAUGUCUUCCGUAAACAAGCGCUCUAACGUGGAGAUAUGGCUGUGUGGGAACACUAACCCAAUAUAAGGAAAAACUUGAAAACCGGAAGUCUUAAUGGUGCCACUUGGACGCGAAUGCUGCUGUCAUGACGCUAAUAACAACAGACCUUUGCGAAGCUGAAGAACGUGUAACGUGAUGAGGGGUAAGUGUAGUUUUAAUUUAGAGUUUGCGUGAAGUGAGCACAUGUCGUUUGCUAAAGUUGGAAACUACAGCUCCCAGUAUAUUAUGGUCUCUGGAUCACGUGAUUGAUCAGCUGAUAAAUACAUGGGUAGAUGUAAACCAACAUACUAAACUCAUGAUUUUAGUCUACUGCAAUGAAUAUAUGUAAAUGGGUUGGCUAUAUUCAAUACGCCCAACUUCAUGUAAGGUUUGUAUAAUAAUACACACAAGGCUUAGAAUGAAGAGAUAUGAAGCAAGGAGGAUGAUCCUUCCGAUCUAGUACAUCUACAUCUACUUCAACUGUCGCGUCAAUACCGUUGCAAAGGAGGGUAGCUACGGUAACCAACAUCCUGAAUCCACGACAGAGGUCUGUCCUCACCAACCAAUUAUCAAGGUAGACUGGUAGGCCUUGGCAACAAUGUCGGCUCAACAGCAGGAACAAAGCAGAGCCCUGUGUGCAAACCCUGGGAAUCCUGUUUUCUCAUGUAUGAUGACCCCAGUGGUUAAAAACAAUUCACAUGUGACAUGGGCAAAGCCUCAAAGCCCCUUCUACAAGACCACCUCAAGUGACUAUGGCGUUAGUCCUCCAACAUUUGAAUCAUCACCCUGUACUUACCACCCACUUUCACAAAGAUUCACAGAAGACCUUGGGAACUGUGGGAUGUUACGUGACAACUCCUUCAAUACAAGUCUUGAUCGAAGCAGGGUAUAUGACUGCCCUAAUUUGCAAAACACUAUCUGAUUUGAUUGACAUGGUAUAACAUUGUCUUAGUGUUGAUUAAACUACCUGGUGGACCUUCACUCCAUUGACAAUGA
This is a long non-coding RNA of Salvelinus sp. IW2-2015, 1277 nucleotides long. RefSeq lists it as uncharacterized. Lineage: Eukaryota; Metazoa; Chordata; Actinopteri; Salmoniformes; Salmonidae. The record is from RefSeq and is a predicted model, not a curated record.